RNA transcript from Meriones unguiculatus (Mongolian gerbil), 8358 nucleotides. It is a transcript of the gene named PR/SET domain 4, with no coding region annotated. Lineage: Eukaryota; Metazoa; Chordata; Mammalia; Rodentia; Muridae. The transcript has 15 exons. The record is from RefSeq and is a predicted model, not a curated record.
CCAGAGGAGGCAGCGGGCCUGCCUGGGCGGGGGCUGGGAGGGAAACGGUAGAGGAGCCACAAGCAAGACCCUGGGUCCCGGGAGGGCAAGGGCGCCCGGGCCGGCUUCUGGCCCGAUGAAGAGCCAGGCGGCUGGGCCGGUGCUCCUCAGCGCGGGCCUCAGGUCAGCCGGUCCGGCUGCCAGCGCUUCCGGAAAAACAACCCUGGGCGCCGCCCAGCAUGUUGGGCACUCGGCGCGGAGUGCAGCCGCCGGCCCUCGGAGACGUCAGGCGGUCCGGGGCGGCGCGGUCACCGGCGGGAUGUGGUAGCACGUGACACCGGCCCCGGCGCGCUCCUGACGGACGCCGGUCCCCUGCACUAUAUGCGCAGGAUGAAUGACACGAACUUGAGCCCAGUGGGGAUGGAGCAGCUGUUUUCAUCCUCUGUGAGCAAUGCCCUGCCAGUCUCAGGAAGUCACCUGGGUUUGGCUGCCUCUCCCUCUCACAGUGCCAUCCCUGCCCCAGGUCUCCCAGUCGCAAUUCCAAACCUGGGCCCCUCCCUGAGCUCUCUGCCUUCUGCCUUGUCUCUGAUGCUUCCCAUGGGCAUUGGAGAUCGAGGAGUGAUGUGUGGGUUACCUGAAAGAAACUAUACCCUACCUCCACCACCUUACCCUCACCUAGAGAGCAGUUACUUCAGAACAAUUCUACCUGGCAUUUUAUCUUAUUUAGCUGACAGACCACCUCCUCAGUACAUCCACCCCAACUCUAUAAAUGUUGAUGGAAAUACAGCAUUAUCUAUCACCAACAACCCUUCGGCGCUAGAUCCCUAUCAGGCCAAUGGAAAUGUUGGGUUAGAACUAGGCGUUGUUUCAAUUGACUCUCGUUCUGUGAACACACAUGGUGCCCAAAGUCUUCAUCCUAAUGAUGGCCACGAAGUGGCAUUGGACACAACAAUCACUAUGGAGAAUGUUUCUAGGGUUACCAGCCCAAUCUCUACAGAUGGAAUGGCAGAGGAGCUUACCAUGGACGGUGUUACAGGAGAACAUUCCCAAAUCCCAAAUGGCUCUAGAACUCAUGAGCCUCUCUCUGUGGAUUCUGUGAGCAACAACCUUACCGCAGACACUGUAGGACAUGGUGGUGUGAUACCCAUUCAUGGGAAUGGUCUGGAGCUUCCUGUGGUUAUGGAGACAGACCACAUUGCAAAUCGGGUCAAUGGGAUGUCUGACAGUGCCCUCAGUGACUCCAUCCACACCGUGGCCAUGAGCACCAACUCUGUAAGCGUGGCACUCUCUACCUCACACAACCUUGCCUCCCUAGAAUCUGUUUCCCUCCAUGAAGUUGGCCUUAGUCUAGAGCCUGUGGCUGUCUCUUCCAUCACACAGGAGGUUGCUAUGGGGACAGGUCAUGUAGAUGUACCCUCAGAUAGCUUGUCUUUUGUACCACCUUCACUGCAAAUGGAAGACUCCAGUUCAAACAAGGAAAACAUGGCAGCCAUGUUUACAAUUUGGUGCACUCUUUGUGACCGAGCCUAUCCCUCAGACUGCCCUGAUCAUGGACCAGCGACUUUUGUUCCUGACACACCAAUAGAGAGCAGAGCAAGACUAUCCCUUCCGAAGCAGCUUGUUCUCCGCCAGUCCAUUGUGGGAACAGAAGUUGUUGGUGUCCUUCCAUUGAUAGGUGUGUGGACUGCAGAAACCAUUCCUGUGCGGACUUGCUUUGGGCCUCUAAUUGGUCAGCAGAGCCACUCCAUGGAAGUAGCAGAGUGGACAGACAAGGCAGUUAACCAUGUUUGGAAGAUAUACCACAAUGGUGUCCUAGAGUUCUACAUCAUUACAGCUGAUGAAAAUGAGUGUAAUUGGAUGAUGUUUGUGCGCAAAGCCAGGAUUUCAUUAUGUACUUCAUGCUGGCCUGGAACUUGGAGCAACCCUCCUAUAACCAAUCCUGUCUCUGCUUCUCAAGUGCUGGAAUUACAGAUGAACCGUGAAGAACAGAAUUUGGUGGCCUAUCCCCAUGAUGGAAAAAUCUAUUUCUGUACCUCACAAGACAUCCCUCCUGAAAAUGAACUGCUUUUCUAUUAUAGUCGGGAUUAUGCUCAACAGAUUGGUGUUCCUGAACACCCAGAUGUUCACCUCUGUAACUGUGGCAAGGAGUGCAAUUCCUAUUUAGAGUUCAAAGCUCAUCUGACCAGCCAUAUCCAUAACCAUCUCCCUAGCCAGGGCCACAGCAGCAGCCAUGGGCCAAGCCACAGCAAAGAAAGGAAGUGGAAGUGUUCAAUGUGCCCCCAGGCUUUUAUCUCUCCUUCCAAACUCCACGUUCAUUUUAUGGGUCAUAUGGGUAUGAAGCCCCACAAGUGUGAUUUUUGUAGCAAAGCUUUUAGUGAUCCAAGCAACCUACGGACACACCUCAAAAUACAUACAGGUCAGAAGAAUUACAGGUGUACUUUGUGUGACAAGUCUUUCACCCAGAAGGCUCACCUGGAGUCACACAUGGUCAUCCACACAGGUGAGAAGAAUCUCAAGUGUGACUACUGUGACAAGCUGUUCAUGCGGAGGCAGGACCUCAAGCAGCAUGUGCUCAUCCACACACAAGAACGCCAGAUCAAGUGUCCAAAGUGUGAUAAGCUGUUCUUGAGAACAAACCACUUGAAGAAGCAUCUCAAUUCUCACGAAGGAAAACGAGAUUAUGUCUGUGAAAAAUGUACAAAGGCUUACCUAACCAAGUACCAUCUCACUCGCCACCUGAAGACCUGCAAAGGGCCCACCUCCAGUUCCUCAGCACAGGAGGAGGAAGAGGAUGAUGACUCAGAAGAAGAAGAUGUCACAGACUCCAUGAGGACAGACGACUGUAGGAUGAGCAGUGCUAUUUACUCAACAGAUGAGUCUCUCUCCGCACAUAAAUAAAAAGCACCUGCUUUGGAUGGAACAUGCAUUGGGAAAACACAAAACCAACCUAUUGCAGUGUUUUUUUUUUUUAAUUUAUUUAUAAUGAUUUUGAAUCAUCUUAAUCGAGUUGAUGUCAAUUUUUUUCCUCUGAGGGUGCACUUCAAAGCUGGCUCCUUGAAGCAUUAAUGUCUUCAUCUGUUGCUCCAAAGGCUUCUUUGAUGCCAUCUCGGUAGACACUGAUUCCACUUCCUCUUUUUGGAGGGUCAGCCUUGAUAGACCUUCCUUGGUUGAUCUGUAGUCCUGGAAUGUGUCACCUAGUUUCCUCUUGUGCGAGUUUGGCAACUUUGCACAAGUUCAGAAAGUUUGCUGGACCGAGGCGCUCAUGACCCUCAAGCUUUAAUGCCUUUAUAUGGAAACAUGUCUUUCCCAUGUCUUUCCUUCAGGUCGGCCUCAGUGUGUAUAAAUGCCUAGAUCUCUGCACAAACUCCUGGCAGAAGUGAGCCAUAAAAGAAUUUUUCAUCUAUGAAACACCAUAUUGUUAAGUUGGAUGUCAUACUGGCAAUAUGCAGACACCAGACACAAUUUUCCAAUUGUUGCCUUUGUGGCAUUGUUUGCUUCUGCCUCCAUCUCAAAACUCACAAGAAAUCUGGUAUCUAAAUUGUGUGUAGCAAGCCUAAUUGCAGCUGCCUUAAUUACGGUCAGCGGCAGUAUCAAGUUCAACAGUCGGUGGGACUGACCCUUGGAAAAGAGUAAGAGUAAACACUUGGCGGUGAACCACUUUGUGAUCUGCUGAAUAGCUGCUUGUUGAGGUUUCCAAAUGGAAUAGUAGAGAAGCCUAAGUACUCUUGAAUAUGGUGUUCAUCAGGGCUGGUGUUUCUCUGACCUCUUUGUUGGCUCAAGGCAUACAUUUCCCCAAACAGUCUUUCUUGUUGUGUAUAGUUCUAGAAAAACUACAAGUAGGCAACAAAUGAGGAGUAACAACAGUUCCUCCAAGAGUUUUGGAGUUGGUCAUCUCAGGAGCACACAGGUUGCUUAAGGCUGCACUGAGCACAACAUCUAGAGGAGGAAGCACUACAACAUCAUCAUACAUGAGUGAGUUAGCAUCCAUACUUCUUUACUUCCCAGUGAACACUAAGUGCCCGUAAAUGUGUUGUCGUGCAGUGGUUUUGAUAGGAAAUGCUCUCUGAUCCUUCUAACCCACUGUCACAAGUGUACUGAGUGGGAAUGGCUAAAGCACUUACAGAAGAAUAUCCAAAUGGAUUCUUUAGGAUGGAAUAGGAGAUAAGGCAUGUGUCGGUUCUAUUUUUAAGUAAUGGGUGGCAAGGAAAGGGCCAGCUUGUGAUAUCUUUAUUUACAUGUUUUUUUUUUAUUUGGGAGAUGCACUUAUGCCUGAGUCAGGGUGGCUUUUUGUCCCAACAUUGUUCCAUUCCUCCCCACCCCCAGCCAUCCUCACUGUUGACCACAUGUUAAGCACUAUUGUAUGCAUUUCACAGAGACUUUUAACAGCAGUGCAAGUGUUAGGAUGACUAAUUCCUAAAAAGUAACACCUGCCUAACUUAUGGCUACUUCAAGUUUACAGCCUGCUUCCCAGCGUCAGCAGGAAUUCAAAGAAGUAGUUAUGGUUCAGAAGACAGUGACUGAGGUCCAGAAAACCCCUUUGAUGGAAACCACCUGGCUCUGUGUGCAAGCGCGUACUUUGUGUCUCUGUCUUUAGGAAAGCCUUCAGUAACAUUCAGAGGAUCUGGCAUUAACAGUGUUCAAAUAAUGCCUACCAGAAAGUGCACAUGGACUCAACUGACAAGACUGGCACUUCAGCCUACAGAAGGAAGGAGGGGAAUGGUUUGUUUAUGUAGGUUUACUUUAUGAAAACCAUUAAAAUGCUGCUAGCUGAAAGCAGCAAGUAGUUCCAAAUGCAUUGGUGGGUUUCACAGGCCUUCCCAGUUAUCCUCCUUGCUGAAGGUCCUUACCAGCUAAGUAUAGAGGAUAUCAAAGGAUUUGGCAGAAGAGAAGGCUUACUAGUCCUCAUAUGGGUCUGUUUUCAGGUCCCUGUGAGCAGGCAUAACCAGCUUUUGGCAAGAAGCAGACACAUCCUGAAGUUGACAGGAUUGAUGGAACAUGCCUUCCUGCUCAAGGGCACAACCUUGGCUUGAGUGGAGGACUCUGCUGAGAAGUUCAGAUCCUGAAAUAAACUGGAUACAUGAUGCCCUAAAUCAUCCUAAGCUUUGGAAAUUAGGAAUAAUUUCUUUUCUGGGCUAAAGCCUGAACACAUCUAUAAUGCCUUGAUUAUGCGUGCUAAUUCCUUAAAAGUUGAGACAAAACAUUCCUGAAAACCAUGAAGUUCAUAAUGGCUUUGUCAAAAAUAUGAUUAAUAUGCAAAAGGUGAAAAUGCCUUUAGGAAUCACAUUUUUAAAUCAUUGGGCCAGAGAGACUGCUUAGUCAGCAAAAAAUGCUCAUUUUGCAAGCAUAAAGACCUGAUGAAUUCAAUUCAAUUCUGGAAUCUAUCAUGCAUAUUGGUAAUCCUAGCCUGGGAAGAUGGAGCCAAGUGGAUCCCGGAGCAGGCCAGGCUGGGUGGCCAUUUAGUCCUGUCUCCCUCCUCCUCAGUAUUGGGAGGACAAGCAUGAACUACCACACCAGCCUAACACAGCAAGACCCGUCUCAAAAACUGUUACUACUUAUUUUAUAAGCCUACAGUUCCUACGUCAGACAGCAUGUUUAAGAAAUAAUUUUUUGAAAAUCUUUUAUUUUCAAGAAAUGCAAGAACUCUGUACAAUACCCAGUUGAAGGCAGAUACAAAGGCUGUGGACUGCCACCAAAGCUGCAGAGGGGAAUGACAAAAAGAACUGAACUCAGUUUUGUUUCCACCAUUAUGGCUAUAGGUACACUUGAACAUUUCUAGGCCAGCUUUUUGAAAUCCCGAGGUAAGGUAAGCAAAUCAGGAAACUGAUCGUUGUCAGGUCUCCAUUGGUGUCUGUGGGCUCUUGCUCCCACAAGGGCCACUAACAGACAAGCCUUUUGCGCUUCCAAUAACCAGUCUCUCCCGUCUUCCAAAUGCUUCGUUUACUAAAAGGAACCAUGAGAAAAGGAGUUAAGAGUCUAAAGACUAGAUUAUAAAACAAUAUUAAGGGCUUGUUUUGAGGUGAAAACUUUAUGUGAAAGAUAGAUUUAAUACUAUGUGAAGCAGGGAUGCCAGACCAAUUUAAUGACUCUUUUUUUUUUUCCAAUUUUGCUUAAUCUUUAUUGCAUUUCACAGCAUGGGCAGACACAAUUUAACUGUCCGGUCCUGUCUCUUUAUCUCUACAUUUCAAGGAGCUUUUUUUUCUUUUUUAAAAUUUCAUUAAAUUUUUAUUUUUAUAUUAAUUAGUUUAUUCACUUUGUAUCCCAGCUGUAGCUCCCCUCCUUCAUCUCCCAUGUCCACCCUCCCUCCCUCAUCACCUCCCAUGCCCCUCUCCAAGUUCACUGAUAGAUGAGGUCUUCCUCCCCUUCCAUCUGACUCUAGUUUAUCAGGUCCUAUCAGGACUGGCUGCAUUGUCCUCUGUGGCCUGGCAAGGCUGCUCUCCCCUCAGGGGAGGCAGUCAAAGAGCCAGCCACUAAGUUCAUGUCAGAGACAGUCCCUGGUGACUCUUAAUCAUCUCUUGGGCUUGUCUUUAACUCAAAUCUACCUUGGAACAGCGCUCUGCUUCAGAUUUUUUCCCUCUAUAUCAUGACCACACAUAUAUAAUCUAUAAUAUUUCAUUAUCCUAUAAAUUCAAAUAAUAGCAACUGACAAAAGUUUAGGAUCCUUCCUCAUCAUGGGAGGGAAAAUUUAGUGGGGACAUAUUGUCUAUAGGGUACACUAAAUAGUAAGUAACCUCAACAAUUACUAUUUAACACAUUAAAUUCUCACCCUGUGCUUAGUCCUUACACUUUCUGACAGAGCAGGAUCUAGAAGGCUUCUUACCUGAAGAGACAGUGCUUAUGUCCCAAACUCGGAGUCCUUCUCUCUGUCCUCCAAAGGCAUAUACAAAUGGCAAAUCAGGACAACAUGAAGAACAAAAAAGAACUCCCUAGAAAGAAAAGAACUGAAAUGUCAGUGAUUUCUAACCAUUUAGAGAGUUCUAACCUCUAGAUCCCUACCCCUAUUCUCUAAGGACAGGUUUGAUUCGGUACUCAAAGCUAGAUAAGCACAACAUUACGGCUGCAUCGUGAGGCCAGCCGUGAUUUAUUAGCUAUUUCCUAUCUAGUUCCCUGUAUACACCCAGAAACCUUAUUUAUCUUUUCAAACAGUAACAGUCAUAUAAUAGGUCACUAUGAAGUCUUUUUUCUUAAAUAGUCCUUUUGCAUGUAUGCAGGUUGGAUAUCAGGGCUUUCCUAGGCAAGUGUUCUACCACUGAGCCCCCAAACCACUGGCAAACAUUACAUUUCUGUGUUGGGGUGGGCAUGUGUAUGGACAGAGGCCAACUUAGAGGAGUUGGUGCUCUCCUUUUACAGCAUGGUCAUCAAGCUUAGUAGCAAGUGCCACUCUAGCCCUCAAUUUAUUAGUAAACUUUUAAUGUUUUUGUUUUUACACUCCUAAAUAUUAAAAAUACACUUUACAGAAAGUAUGAAUGAAAAAACUACAAAAUCCCUUAGUGAGAUAACUUGUUAUUUCAGUAUAAGUACAUGAGCCAAGUAGUCAUUUAUGGAUAAGCCUGGGAUGGAGCGAAGAAACUUAAUGGCCUGCCUGUAAGCUAAAAACACAGUGUUAAAAGCUGUGAAAUUCUACUAUGCUGCUGAUGUUAUUCAUAUAACUCAGUGGCUCACCCAGUAAGCACUCACUGUUAAAAAUACUACUUAUUCUAAAUGUUUUGUGUACACAUAUAUUACCAACCUCAAUGUAGAAAGCAGGCUAUGAGAAAUAAAUAAAGAGCCCCCAAUAGCUCUAGUGCCCAAAGCCCCAAGAUUCCCUGAGGCAGCUGUUGAAGGCUAAAAGUUGUGGCCCUUCCCUGUGUCCUUUGCCCACUCUUCUUGAUCCUAUAAAGUGACUAGUAAGCUUGUAAACUGGAAAGGAAUUCAGACAGUAACUGAACUCUUUAAAACUCUCCUAAGUUAUAAACUCCCAUCAAACGUGACUAGCUCAAAAUUGGAUUCAACACAUCCUUAACUGCAGUGUUUCCCAGGAAAAGACAAGCAAAUAAAUAGGUCAGAAACACAAUAAAAAUGUCAGGGAGAUGCUCACCAUUUUCAUGUCUCUCGAAUGAAUGAGACUUGGCCUGUCUCCUAAGAUGUCCCAGAUCUUCACAUAUUUGUCUGCUGAAGCGGUAACGAGGCAGCCUUUGAUCUGACUGCUCAGAUCAAGACCUAGAAGAUAAGAUUAGUUCAGGAGCUACUGCCUGAAAUUUAGACUUAACUUGUCAUAACUUAAUGCAUUUGAAAGAAACAUCAUUCUUACCAGAGAUUUCAUCAUUGUGUGCAUUAAGUGUAAAUAUUGGCUUAUCUGAACGUGCAUCCAGAUUAUAUACAAAGCCAUCAUCUGUACUGGCC